GAUGAACGCUGGCGGCGUGCUUAACACAUGCAAGUCGAACGGGAAACUUUUUAUUGAAGCUUCGGCAGAUUUAGCUGGUUUCUAGUGGCGGACGGGUGAGUAACGCGUGGGUAACCUGCCUUAUACAGGGGGAUAACAGUCAGAAAUGACUGCUAAUACCACAUAAGCGCACAGGACCGCAUGGUCCGGUGUGAAAAACUCCGGUGGUAUAAGAUGGACCCGCGUUGGAUUAGCUUGUUGGUGGGGUAACGGCUCACCAAGGCGACGAUCCAUAGCCGGCCUGAGAGGGUGAACGGCCACAUUGGGACUGAGACACGGCCCAGACUCCUACGGGAGGCAGCAGUGGGGAAUAUUGCACAAUGGGGGAAACCCUGAUGCAGCGACGCCGCGUGAAGGAAGAAGUAUCUCGGUAUGUAAACUUCUAUCAGCAGGGAAGAUAGUGACG
This 445-nucleotide ribosomal RNA is filed under the name uncultured bacterium. RNAcentral's name for it is "bacterial SSU rRNA". It matches the Rfam family "Bacterial small subunit ribosomal RNA", at positions 28 to 456 of the family's 1533-position model. The record is from RNAcentral.